This 298-nucleotide long non-coding RNA is filed under the name Gossypium barbadense (sea-island cotton). Its description in RNAcentral is "long non-coding RNA (GBAR_LNC021529)". The record is from RNAcentral. Lineage: Eukaryota; Viridiplantae; Streptophyta; Magnoliopsida; Malvales; Malvaceae.
GCUUUACUGCAGUUACUGACAUUGCCGGAGGGUACGCGGCGUGGACUCAGAAUGGGCUUCCAACGGAAUGAUGAUGAUGAUGUUGGAGGCAGGGAAUAAAGUUGGUGAUACAAUAAUAAAGCUUGGAAGACAAAAAACUAGAAAGAUCUCAAGUGUAAAGAAAAAAAAAUGUCGCAUAUUAGUGUAGUUGGCAGCCACAGAAUGACCAGAAAGUAUGUGAAUAUGAAUGUGACUGUUUGGUUGUUGUUCUGUAUGGAAAAGGAAACAAAGAAACAAACAAAUAAUAGAUGAAUGGAAC